GCAAGUCGAACGAGAACGGACUUUAGUUUACUAAAGUUGUCAGCUAAGUGGCGCACGGGUGAGUAAUAUAUAGUUAAUUUGCCGGAAAGUUGGGGAUAAUUGUUGGAAACGACUUGUAAUACCCUAUAUGCCUCUAUCACAUAAGUGAGCGAGGGAAAGAUUUAUCGCUUUCCGAUAAGACUGUACGGUAUCAGAUAGUUGGUGAGGUAAUGGCUCACCAAGUCUAUGACGCCUAACUGGUUUGAGAGGAUGAUC
RNAcentral lists this ribosomal RNA (255 nucleotides) under uncultured bacterium. RNAcentral's name for it is "partial 16S ribosomal RNA". It matches the Rfam family "Bacterial small subunit ribosomal RNA", at positions 57 to 305 of the family's 1533-position model. The record is from RNAcentral.